RNAcentral lists this ribosomal RNA (265 nucleotides) under uncultured bacterium. Its description in RNAcentral is "partial 16S ribosomal RNA". It matches the Rfam family "Bacterial small subunit ribosomal RNA", at positions 793 to 1055 of the family's 1533-position model. The record is from RNAcentral.
GUCCUAGCCGUAAACGAUGAACACUAGGUGUGGGAGGUAUCGACCCCUUCCGUGCCGCAGCUAACGCAUUAAGUGUUCCGCCUGGGGAGUACGGCCGCAAGGUUGAAACUCAAAGGAAUUGACGGGGGCCCGCACAAGCGGUGGAGCAUGUGGUUUAAUUCGACGCAACGCGAAGAACCUUACCGGGGCUUGAACUGCAGUGGACAGCUCUAGAAACAGAGUCUCCCCGAAAGGGGCUGCUGUAGAGGUGCUGCAUGGCUGUCGU